CACUGAAAAGAGCAGAUGCAGAGAUUUUCUAGAUAAACAAAUCACCCAAGCCCUGCCACUCCAGCCCCCCUCCCCUCCCCCCACCCCCAGUUCAGCUCUCUUCUUUGCACCUUAUAGUUCAAGCUAAAAGCAGUUGCAAGUGGAAAGUGUAGGGCUGUGUCUUCUUACAUGUCCUGGAUCCUCCUUUAACUGUGAAAAUGUUCAAAGUGAAAACUUGACCUGGCAACAGUUUCUGAAUGACCUCGCUUUGGCUGUGAAAUCCACUUGAGCUUUGCAGGAGCAGAUUUUUACAGUCUUCUCUGGUAGAGGAACAAAAAGACUUAUUAUUAUUAUUAUUAUUUUUCUUCAAGAGGAAACUUUAUACAGGCCGUGUGUUAUGCUUUCUCCCAGCGCUCAAGGUCAAAUAAGCACUUCUCUUCUCACUAUUCCCUGCUCACUUUCUAUCACCCAAAAAAUAAAUUCCAUCCCCUCCUCUGUUGCUGCAGACAAUCCACAACAUCAAGAAGAAGCGACAGGAGUGUAAGCAGGAAGCCUGACGCUUCAGCCAUUGCAGCCGCACAUGAUACAAAAGGUGAAGCUCCGUCUUCCUAGUCUUCUCCCCUUCUACUGUAGAGGAGAACCACUGUUUGAAAGAAGUAAGAUUGCAGUAGUGAAAGUUUGGUGUAUUUUCCACAUUUCUGGAGCUGACUUCUGCGGGUGGACGAAGGACGUGCCAACAGCAAGAGUGUCUAUAGCUCAGUGUUUUGAAAUGGUAAGGCAUGCUGAUCAAGGAUAUCUCUACCAAUUUUAACUAACCAGUGUGGCCUGCUCAGGCCAAUAUUAUGGACAGCAACAAACAAGAGGACACUUUGUCUCAUCAGUCUCAUGGAUAUAACUUUCUGCUUACAGCUGUAUUUGGCUAAGGCCUGUAGGUGGUUAUGGACUUUGACUCAGUGGCUGGGCUUGGAUGGGAGCCUUCUGGCUUACAAUCCUGUGCUCCAACCAUCUAAUCUCUCAGCCCAAAGGAAAUUGCGGUGUCCCUGUGGACCCUUGGGCAUGGAGGUUAGCCCAUGGCUGAACCCUUCAGACAGAAAUGGUACAAAACCAAACCCGAGUUUCUCCUCCUCAGAUCUAACUCAUCAAGAAUAG
RNAcentral lists this long non-coding RNA (1128 nucleotides) under Numida meleagris (helmeted guineafowl). RNAcentral's name for it is "lncRNA (ENSNMEG00000022925.1)". Lineage: Eukaryota; Metazoa; Chordata; Aves; Galliformes; Numididae. The record is from RNAcentral.